This 40563-nucleotide long non-coding RNA is filed under the name Triticum aestivum (bread wheat). Its description in RNAcentral is "long non-coding RNA (TAES_LNC019620)". Lineage: Eukaryota; Viridiplantae; Streptophyta; Magnoliopsida; Poales; Poaceae. The record is from RNAcentral.
GGCUCUACAACUUCACCGGCAUGGAGAACCCCAGCGACAUCGACCCCACGCUGGAGCCGCAGUACAUGAUGCGGCUAAAGAGCAAGUGUGCCAGCCUCAACGACAACACCACCCUCGUGGAGAUGGACCCCGGCAGCUUCAAGACCUUCGACACCGACUACUUCAAGCUGGUGAGCAAGCGGAGGGGCCUCUUCCACUCCGACGGCGCCCUCCUCACCGACCCCUUCACCCGCGCCUACGUCCAGCGCCAUGCCACCGGCGCCUUCAAGGACGAGUUCUUCGCCGACUUCGCCGCCUCCAUGAUCAAGAUGGGCAACGCCAACCCGCUCACCGGAAGCCAAGGUGAGAUCAGGAAGAAGUGCAGCGUGGUCAACCAUUAAACCACCGACGAAAUACAAGGCUGUUUUGACUUGUAACAUCCUUUUUCCUUGUAAAUUACUGUUAGAUUGUUAUAGCUCCUUUCUCUCCCAAAUCUUUUUCUUUCAUUAAUUUAUUGUUUCGUUACAACCAUGUUAGUUCCUUGUACACACACUUUGGUAUUGCCACCUCCGACAUGUCGUCCAUUGUCAUCUGGAGAUUAUUCAUGUCACGGUUACUAGUUUUGUCUAAGUUUGUCUUUGUUUUAUUUUAGAUUGUUACAUAAUGUUUUGUUGUGAUAUUUGUUUUACCUCAGAGCAUAUCAUAAUGUUUCACAUGUACAAGUAAAAAGAAGAGUUACUGUCAGAUUAUCUUUAUUUAGUUAUUUGGGGCAGGAUGGCUAGCAACCAUCAAAUUUUGCAGCAUUGACUGUUGGCACUGCCGUGCAUUUGGUCUCUUCUUGUUAGAAAGUUUAUCUUUAUGUUUAGUUGUGUAUCUGUGAACACCAAGUGCACAAGCACGAAGAACGAUAGAUCCAAGGUAUACUACCUUGGUCUAGGUGUAUAUGUCAUGUCAUUGAAAGCAUACAUGUCUUACAUUUUUUAUUGGAUGAUUCCAUUAUUUAUGUCAAGAAAUAAGAAACGAUGUGGAAGUUAAUGCACCGUGCCUAAGUGUUUUUAGAUUAUUUGGUUUUCCUAAGGUGACUUAUACACCUAGACGCGGAGUCAUUAAGAAAAAAAAUUCAGAAUUUUAUUAAUAUUUUUACUAUUUUUUUGAUUUUACUGUUCAUUAGGGUGCAUUUGAGCUCAUGUCUAGAUACUUCGUGUCCUCUUUUCAAGGCGUUUAUAGACCUUAGAAUACGAGGCCUCCUUAAUUUUCCUCCUCCACAAGAGCAGUGAUGGUCGAAGUAAAAAAAAUCCUAUAAAAAGUGUCCGGUGGUAGCUUNNNNNNNNNNNNNNNNNNNNNNNNNNNNNNNNNNNNNNNNNNNNNNNNNNNNNNNNNNNNNNNNNNNNNNNNNNNNNNNNNNNNNNNNNNNNNNNNNNNNNNNNNNNNNNNNNNNNNNNNAUUCUUAUGGGGGGGUGGGGGGGGGUGGAUUUCAUAUCAAGUGUGGUGUGAAGAGAUCUCCUCUUAGUUGUGCUGGAAAAGACGACGCCGAAAGGCGCAUAGACACCCUUAGGUGCUAGGCAACGACCAAACGACUCGUCUAGGACAUAAGAGGAACUCUAGGCAUGCAAAAGAAAAAUUAUCUACUCAAAUGAGAUAUCAUGAUACAUUGCAUAGAUGGCCCAAAUGGGCCUAGGCUAUAUUCUAAAGGCUAGACAUGGUAGUUUACACAUUUAUAUGCUCUAAAUUAAUAUUGAUACACAUAUAUUACCUCAAAUACACCCUAAUAGCCAAAACUAUACAUGCACCUAGGCUACGCCUAAGGAGCUUAAGCACCACUUAGGUGCUAGGAGAAGGCCCAACUCCUCGUUUAUGCCUAGAGCUUUCUCCAACCUUGCCUCUCGGUGAAAAAUUAUCUCACCUCUUGUCGAUGCAAGAGGUUCUCUAUGAGAUCUUGUUGAUCAAUGGAAUUCUUGUUCACCCUUCUUGAUGGUUUUACCUUGAUAUCCUUUACUAGAAGAGUAGGGCUUUCAUGUUUUAGUGGAAUAGAGCUUAUACUAAAUUUGAUGUCUAACACGAUCUUUGUAUACACCUUCUUAUGUUGUUUUUUCACUACUACCACAGAAGUGCAUGUAUUUCUUUUGAAGUUUAAUGUUUUUCUCAUAUAUUUAAUUGCGUUAAGGGCUAAAAUAUAGAAAAAAUCAUUUUUAGGUUGGUUAGGGAUCAAAGAGACAAGGAGACAAGAUGAGGAAUAGGACAAAAGCCAACUCAUGACGACCUCUAGGGAGUCCAUGCAAUUGGCCCAUGUGUCCAACCUUGUUGUGUGGGUUCAUUGCAUGACCCACAUAGUACCCCCACCCCACCCCCGCCCAACCGCGCUUGAUCGUCUGAGGGCUUUUCCUUCACCCCUAUAUCUCCAUCAUCUAUUUAUUUCAAUUAUUUAGCGAUGGUUGUACACUAAAUCUUUAUUUGCAUGAGAUAUAUGAGGAUAACAAUAGAUCCAAUCUCUCAAAAGGCUUUCUCUCGAUCCAAUCUAGAUUAGCCAACUCAAAUAAAUAGAUGUACUAUGCACUCUCAUGAUUACACUUGAGUGGUGUCCUUUUGCGGCUACCAUUUUUGCAGUAGUAACUGUGCAGCUGCUCUCUCUCUCUCUCCCCCAUGACUUCCCUAAAGGCAUUUAUUAUCACAUAAUAUGUCUAUUCGGAACUCCCAAUUCAAGUACUUUCUCUCUAAAUGUUUCAAUAGAAGAAAAGUCAUAGGUUUUGGAUGCUCGAAAUAAGCUCAUCACAACCCCUUUUUUUCUAAACACAUGGUGAGCGAAGUUGUAUUAAUUAUAAAGCACCUGGAUUGGAUGAAUUCUCAACCGAAUCUAUCAAACCUUCUAGGAGUCAUGGAGUUAUCUGAAACCCUCCAUGUUGAUCACCCUGAGCUUUCAAGACUAUUCUUUGUGCAAUUGUUUUGUCAGCAGUAAUCUUGAUCACGGCCUCAUGCAGCGACCUGGCCGAGUCACGUUCGUGUGUGAGUAGCGACCGGGAUUCCAUCUACAUGCAUGGCUGGUUAGUUAGUGGGCUAGCUACAAGGCUGGGUGUGAGCGAUUCUAGUAUGCAUGCUAGCUGAGUUGGUUAGUGCAUGGAGGUGUGGCGUCGUGGUAGUUAGUAAGUGCUGUUAGUGGCCGAUGGAGGCGGCUAGGCUGUGUGUGGCCUUGCAUGUUUAAGUGGCUGGUGGUGUGUGUGUGGCAGAGUUCGAGCACGCCGGAAAUACAAGGGGUUGUUCGUGCGGCCGGAGGCGUUUGUGCGCCGGGAAACCUCGUGUCCUCUCUCUCUCUCUUGUUUCUUCCUUGUCUCCGGUGAUCGCCGUGGUUCAGUGAGUAGGCUAGACACCAACAAUUGGUAUUAGAAGUGUUGGCCGGAAUAAGCCGCGGCGACGGGUCGGACGCGUCGGGCGCGUGUAUGGGCGCGCGCCGGGCGUGUCGGGCACGUCGGGUCCGCGGCGGGGUCGUGUGCGUGUGUUGGUUAGCGAGAAGUGCGGGAGGGUGACUGCGCUGGGCGCUGGACCCGGUCGCGUCCGGUCGUGUGUGUGCGCGGCGGGCGCGGGAGCCGUGGAGCGCGGAGCGUGGCGAGUGGGGUGAGUGGGCGCGCUGUAGGCGCGGCGUGGCACGCGUACGCGCGCGUGUAUAAGGUCUUCCCCGGCCUGUGUAGCUCGCAGUGGUGUGGCUGAGUUCAUGCUCAGGAAAAUCCAUCGGCUGUUCGUGCGGCUGGCGGCGUUCGUGUGCCGGAAAAAACACCACCAUGUCAUCUCUGUGCUCGUGUUCUUCUCCACCUCCUUCUUCUUCGUUGGUUCGUGCCACGACAAGUGAGGGAGAGCAGAAAGAGUGCCCGGGGGAGCUAGAGAGACGGAGCUACGGCAACAACAAUUGGUAUCAGAGCUAUCGGGUUCAGGGCGGCGUGGCGUGCGGCGGCGUCCGCGGUACGCGUGGCGAGCGCGGCCGACAUGGAGGCUUCGGCUGAGGUGCGUAGCGAGUCGAGCAGCGGCGGUCGCGGAGGCGAGGAGGCCGCAAAGGCUCGGCGCAACGGCCGUGGAGGCGUAGUGGCGCGUGGCACCGAGACGCGGCACGGCGGCGCACAGAGCUCUGGGCUUCGGCAGCGGCAGCGAGCGGCGGCGGCUCGUGCCGGAGGCGCAACAGAGGCUUCCAUGGCGCCGAGACGACGACGAGGAGGCAGGGCGGCACGGUGGCAGGCGCGGCAGCGACGUCAGGGCGGUGGCGGGUACAACGACGACGACGACAACGGCGCGGCGGAGCGCGCGCUGCUGGCGGACGGCGGCAUCGAGGACGUCGGUCUCCUCUAAGCCGCGGCUUAGGGGAUGAGUGUUGGCCGGAAUAAGCCGCGGCGACGGGUCGGACGCGUCGGGCGCAUGUAUGGGCGCGCGCCGGGCGUGUCGGGCACGUCGGGUCCGCGGCGGGGUCGUGUGCGUGUGUUGGUUAGCGAGAAGUGCGGGAGGGUGAUUGCGCAGGGCGCUGGACCCGGUCGCGUCCGGUUGUGUGUGUGCGCGGCGGGCGCGGGAGCCGUGGAGCGCGGAGCGUGGCGAGUGGGGUGAGUGGGCGCGCUGUAGGCGCGGCGUGGCACGCGUGCGCGCGUGUAUAAGGUCUUCCCCGGCCUGUGUAGCUCGCAGUGGUGUGGCUGAGUUCGUGCUCAGGAAAAUCCAUCGGCUGUUCGUGCGGCUGGCGGCGUUCGUGCGCCGGAAAAAACAACACCAUGUCAUCUCUGUGCUCGUGUUCUUCUCCACCUCCUUCUUCUUCGUUGGUUCGUGCCACGGCAAGUGAGGGAGAGUAGAGAGAGUGCCCGGGGGAGCUAGAGAGACGGAGCUACGGCAACAACAUGUUUUACUUCCCACGACUAAAGAGGAUAAUCAAUUUCCAUUGUACAUAUUGACAUGCCUUCUUAACGUAUUGACCAUAUGCCUUAAUUAGUAACUUGAUAGCUUCUUAAUUAUGUCGUUUCUCUCUCUCAUGUGCAGAGUCUAAAUCAGAAGUUUAACUCAUACUCAAAAAUCUUGAUAUUUUCUGUAAUGCAAAAAUGUAAGUUUUUGAUCGAAGUACUUAAAUUUUCAAACACAAUAAAUAGUUUUAGAUUUUAAAAUCCUAUAGAGCACAAAUCAACACAUUAUCAUACCUUACACAGUUGUGAAUCCUUAAAAAAUAGUUCAAUUGAAAGUACAUAAUUGUACACAUCUUAAAGCUAACAAAUAAAGUUUAUUCAAAUCUAAACUCAUUCUUUAGUCAUAUGUUGAUACGUUGACACUACUAAAUAACGCAUAGUCAUACCAAUACCAACAUAGAUGCUCAUAACAUAUAUUAAAUAUCCAAAUUGAUGAUAAAAAACUUGUGUUGUGGCAAAAUGCAAUCAUACCUACAAGCUAACUGUUUCAAUGAUGUGUCACCUUAUCAUGUGUGCCUUUAGCUCUUUGCCAAAGUUCCUUAUCCACAGUUUCACUUCUCUCACCAAAAGCGCGGAUACAUAUGAGUCAAAUUUCGUGCCUAAUACAAGUUUCUCGAGGUAAAACUACGAGGAAACAGUGUGGAAGAACAACAAAUACAGCUACCUAGGGUUGAAUCUUUGGUUACCAGCUGCCAUCCCAAGACGAAGAAGAAUUCUGGUCUGUGAUCUGGUUGUCUGGUUGUAUUUCUUUUUAGUUUGAGACCAAGGGGAGCGGACGGUUUUUACGAGGUAGUGGGCUCCCUGUUAAUAAAUAUCUUAUUUGGACAUGACCACAUCGCAGAACCUUACUAUUUCCGCACAUUUUGUUACUAUCUCCCUCUAUACGGAAUAGACCUAACUCUUAGCACUACAAGAAAUAUGCCAACUUGCGACCAUCACUAUUGGUCACUUGUGACCAAAAACUGAAGGUCAAAAGCUGGCGGUCGUAAACUGAAAUUAACGACCUUCUUCGUGAUAUGUAAAAGGUCGUUGGUUCUUUGACAAAAUUUUUGGUCACUAGCAGCCUCCCCAGGCCACGUAGGAUCGAGCGUGGCAAGUUGACGUGGAUAAGAAUCAGCCCGGUCCAAUUGGGUGUCUAUAUGGGCCGAGCCCAUUAAUUCAGCCUUUUUAAUAUAUAUUUUUUCUGUUAAUUUUCGCUAGCUACAUGGGCCUGGCCAAGUAAUUCGGCCUCUUUUAUUUCUCUGAAAUUUGACAUUCAAUUUCUUGUUGGGCCACGCCCUUUUACAGUCUAGUAUUUUUUUUGGCCCAAGGCCUUUUACAGUCCUGUUUUUUUUUUGCCUCGUCCUUUUAUAGUCUAGUUUUUUGGCACUCAGCCAUUGCCUUUUAAUUUAGGACUCGUCAUUUUCAGUCAAUUUCCAGUUCAAAUAUAGGCUAUAAAUGCAGAAUAUUUCUCAAUACAGCCAAACUUGGUACAUUACAAUAAUAGUACAUAGUAUCAAGUUUUCUAAUACACAAAAGAUCAAACAAUAACAAGCUCCAGUGAGGUACUCUUUGCUGGGUGCGGAUUCUAGCUUCUUAAUCAUGGGACUUGUUGCAGCAGUCAGCACUUCAAUGAACAAAGGACGUCUACUGGUUAUAAACAGAACAAUUAGGAACAAAAUAAAAACAGAACAUUCUGCAUUUGGUGAGAAAAUGGUUAGAGCAAAGAGGAGCUUUAGCAACAGAGCAAACCAAAUCAAAUCGAACACAAACCGAUAUUUGCAGACGAAUAUUUUUGUUUAACUCAUUUACUGUUGCUCCUUUUAAUUUUUAGGACUACAUAUUCUGAAUCUACUAGAACUAGAUACCUACUGAUUAGUAAAUAAAGCUGAGUUAUACUAGUAGUGGUGUUGCUCAAUUGCCACUGUUCUUAUCAUAUUUACUCCAUAACAACUAACAUGAACAUGCCAAUUGAUUAAAACCUAAGCCGUGUAAAUUUCAGAACAACAACCAAACUUAAGCCAUGAUGAUAGACAGUGAGAAAAUCAACUAAACUUCAAAGGAGUGCUAACCAAGAACCCUUUAAUUAACCCUAGCAUUUCAUCAACACCCCCAGCCAAAUAGGAGCAUGAGCAGGACAGUAGCUACUACCCAGUAUAACAGCAAAAUGGCGUAAUCAUACAACUUGUAAGAGAUGGACACAGGGAUGGUAAGGAAAUAUCAGAUGAGGGGAGGGGAGGGUGCAGACGCUUGUACUCAUUGCCAAGCUGAACGAUCAGCUUCACUAUGACAGGUUUGAGGACCCUCGUCGCCACGUUGACGAGAGCCGCCUCCAUGGUCAUGCUAGCUCAGAGCUGAGCCAGUCAACCGUGCGUGGAGCCGUGGAGGUCAGGUUGUUGAAUGCACUGACAGUAAAUAGCUAGCUCCAAAUUGACAAUCUGAAAAGAGGAUUGGUUAGUACACUGAAAAUAGUAAAUAGCCAGCUCCGAAGUUAAGGUACUGGCAGAAAACAUUAUUAGAAGCACAACUAAUGAUUCAUCAAGCAAAAGGAAACAUUUCAAAGAUACCAGUUGGGCGUCAAAUCUAGCAGAAGGAAACAUUUCAAAAAUACAAGCUGGGCGUCAAAUUUGAAUGAAGCGAUGUAAGUAUAUCUACAACCAGAAUGGCAGAUGCCAGUGAAUGGUGGAUGCCAAACAUAAAGACACAUUGGAAUAUAUUUCUAAUUUGACCAUAAAUAGGCAUGAAUAAUAAGCUCUACAGGCACUCCCCAAGAGAAGUACACGCAAUAGGUUUUGUUUUAUAGUUAUCUACAAUACAGUUAUCGGUUUGCAAUAUACUAUUUAUAUCUAGAACCAGAAUAGUCACUUGAGUAGGGAUGCAACUUUGUGCCGCUUAGAGUACCCUCUCAACCUCCUUAGUUUAUCCAAAUAAACUAAAUUUUUAAAAGUUAUGUGACUUCUGAAAGUUCAGUUCAUUUAGUUGAAAUAAAGAGGGUCACAGAAUACCCUAAAGGGUGCCCAUUUGCACUCCUACACUCGAACACACACACACACACACACACACACACACACACUAUGGAUACUUUUGAGAUGCACAUGCACAUUCAGUAAAUUCAGUGAAAUUCAAUAUACAUGGAGUACAGAAGAGAGGUUCAGACUUCAGACCCAGGCUGUAGGCGCUGGUGACAGAGAUGAUCUAGGCUGUAGGAUUUGGAGAUGAGCUGCAGCAGUGGAGAAAACUUGUAGCCGCCGCCACUGCUGCCAGGUAAGCAGGCACGACCCACUAGACAGCCCAGCCACGGUGUCACAGUAGCAGCAGCAGGUGUUCAAUUAGUCAAGCAGCAAGCCACAUGAUUUGUGCUCUUUUAAAACUUUAUGCUCCGCCUACCUAAACACACAUCACCAUUUAUGAUAACAUAAGCAAAGCAUGAUAGAAAGUAACCAACCAAUUGAAAAGAACAUAUACAUUGAUUUUCUUCAAAUUCAAAACUAUGCCUUCUAAGCUUGGUAGCUCUUCCUAAUCAAAAUUCUUGAUGACAUCUCAAUGCACAACAAGGUUGUAGUUAAUAACUUCUUAUUUAUCAUGUAUUGUCCAAAGUUACAUGAUGAAAGACAUAAAUGAGCAGGACUGUAAUUUAUAAUCCUCGGUUCAUUUAGCCAAACUUCAAUCCAGUAUACUUUGUUCCAUUGAUAGCUAAGGCAUUUUUUAAGAAUCCUAACUGACCCUCAAUCAUCCAUUGUACGAUGGCAUGAAACAGAGCAUCGAUAGAGAGGAAGGAGAGGAGCAGUAGUAGCUCACUGUGGUGGUUUGUGUGACCGAUGUUGAACAGGACCUCCUGUCCUCCAUGGCUAGCAACCACCACGCACCUUUCCUGGCUGGUAUGAUGAAGUGAAGCCCUUCUACUCUGCUGUAGGGAUGAAAACUUCCCCUGCACAAGGACAGGAGAAAUAUGAAUCAACUACACAUACCUAGAUGAACAGAAUCAACAUCACUUGCAUCCCAAAACUAUGUUACUACCUCAGAAACAUCAAAUAACACAUUUGGCCGAGUGGGAGAAGGGGUUACCUUGAGGAAGUCAGCCAUGGCGUGACUGGGAGGGCCGGGCCUCCCGGCGAGGCCGUGGGGAGGUCAGACGGACGGCGACCGCGGCGAAAGGUGAGCGGGUUGGCAAUAUAGUAGAAGCCCGUGACGCAGCCGCGGAGGCAGACGAGGCUGCGCGACGAGGCGCGGAUCCAACUCGACGACGGCGUGGAUCCGGAAGGCCCGCUGUGGCAGUGGAGGCUCGACGAGACGCGCAUCCAGCUCGAUGAGGCGCGGAUCCAGCUCGACGACGGCGUGGAUCUGGCGCCAAGGGAGAGAGGGACGCGGUGGUCGGAGAGCGAUGCGGAGAUUGCGGAGGCGAGGGAGGAGGCGGCGGUGGCGAUGAGGUGGUCGCGGAGCGGGUGGUCGGCGGGGAAGGUGAGGAGCGAGGCGAUGAGGAGCGGCUUGAGGUGGGAUCUGGCGCCGUAGGUGGCGGCGGUCCGACGGGAGGGGUUAGGGUUUGGGCUGCGGGUCGUGGGGGGAGGANNNNNNNNNNNNNNNNNNNNNNNNNNNNNNNNNNNNNNNNNNNNNNNNNNNNNNNNNNNNNNNNNNNNNNNNNNNNNNNNNNNNNNNNNNNNNNNNNNNNNNNNNNNNNNNNNNNNNNNNNNNNNNNNNNNNNNNNNNNNNNNNNNNNNNNNNNNNNNNNNNNNNNNNNNNNNNNNNNNNNNNNNNNNNNNNGGGGGAGGAGUGGUGUGUGGGGGAGAGGGGGAGAGGGGGAGGAGUGGUGUGCAGUGGGUGAGUGGUGUGCGGGGGGGAGGGAGGCAUUCGGCCACUGACAGGUGGGCCCACGAGGAAUUAGGCCCAUAUGUUAGUUCCCUCAAUGCCAUGUGGUAUACGUGAGGGGAGCUACUUUCGGCUGGGUGUGGGUGGGGAAGAGGGUGAGGGGUGUGGGCCGUUGGAUCUGGCAGUAUCCGGCGGUCUCUAAUGCUUGAUCCACGUGACAUGCCUAUAGACCAAUCAGAACGAAGUGCAGGCUUUGAUGAAGUUAUGACUAUCUAAAAUGGUCAUAAUUGAUUAACAAUAGGCACUACCAACGCAGCACCACGGCGGCCGGCGAAGCUCCAUUGCAGGGUGAGCUCCAACGCAGCACCACGACGCCCGGUGGUAAAUUUUCUUCUCUUUUUAUGACAAUGUUUGUUAAAUUUCCAAAUAAUUAGUAGUGUUAUUCCUCGAAUAACAAAAAUCAAUUUUCCAUUUUUGGAGUGCCCAAAAUGAGUUUUUUUGUGAAGGACCUACCAUGUAUUUGUUGCAAAAUUGGACCAAAUCAAUUUUCUAAAAUAUUAGGCCAUAUUUAAUGCAUAAUUGACCAAAUGGUUGGGUGUCAAAAGAUUUGAUCCACCUCUCAUGAAAAAGACAAAUUUCAGUCGAUUCAGCAGGAAGCGGGUCAAAUUUGAACUGCAGCUGCCUCAUAGUUUGCUAUAGAUUUUUUCCAAAAAUAAUUUCUAGGUACAUAAGUAUCUAUUUAAUCAGAGAAAGACCAAAAGUUUUUCAAGAUUCAACCACUAGCUAGGAACGGUCAUGCUCGCCGUUUUGACCGCAUUUUGAAACGGGCAUGAAAAUUUCGAAAAAAAAUCAAAAAAUUGGAAAACCUUCGCAUUGUGUCAUUAUAUGUGGCCAAGUUACCAGCAAAAACAAUAAAUUUGUAAUAUGUCAAUUAUUUUAAAAAAGUGUUCUCAGAAACGAGCUAUCAUGUGUGGAGAUCAAUGGCUUUCAAGCCAAAUGAUAAAUCUUAUGGCCACAUUCAUGGCACAGUUUGUUCAAAUGAUCUCAUAUUGUGCACAUGAUCUCAUAUUGUACACAAGGGUGCAUAUUGGAAUGGCAAACAAUGUUUCCUAAGGGAGUUCUCAUUUUCUUUGGACAAAAAAUCAAUUUUCCAUUUUUCGAGUGCCCGAAAUGAUGGUUUUUUGUGAAGAACCUACCAAAUAAUUGUUGCAAAAUUGGAUCAAAUAAUUUUUAUAAAAUACUAGGCCAUAUUUAAUGCACAGUUGACCAAAUGGUUGGGUGUAAAAAGUUUUGAUCCGCCUCUGGUGAAAAAGACAAAUUUCCGCCGUUUCAGCUGGAAGCGGGUCAAAUUUGAACUGCGCCUGCCUCAUAGUUUGCUAUUUAUUUUUUCCAAAAAUCAUUUAUAGGUACAAAAGUAUCUAUUUAAUCAGAGAAACACCAAAAAAUUCCAAGAUUCAACCACUAGCUAGGAACGGUCAUUCCCGCCGUUUUGACCGCAUUUUGAAACGGGCAUAAAAAAUUCAAAACAAUCAAAAAAUUGGAAAACCUUCACAUUGUGUCAUCAUAUGUGACCAAGUUACCAUAAAAAAUAAUGAACUUGUAAUAUAGAAAUUAUUAAAAAAAAAGUGUUCUCAGAAACGAGCUAUCAUGCGUGAAGAUUCAUGGCUUUCAAGCCAAAUGAUCAAUCUUAUGGCCACAUUCAUGGCAUAUUUUGUUCAAAUGACCUCAAAUUGUGCACAAGGGUGCGUCUUGCAAUUCCGAAAAUGUUGCCUAAGGGAGUUUUCAUUUUCUUUGGACGAAAAAUUCAUUUUCUAUUUUUCGAGUGCCCGUAGUGAGGUUUUUUUGUGAAGGAACUACCAAAUAGUUGUUGCAAAAAUGGACUAAAUAAAUUUUAUAAAAUAUUAGGCCAUGUUUAAUGCACAAUUGACAAAAUGGUUGGGUGUAAAAAAGUUUUAUCCACCUCUGGUGAAAAAGAAAAAUUUCCGUCGAUUCAGUAGGAAGCGGGUAAAAUUUGAACUACGGCUGCCUCAUAGUUUGCUCAUUAUUUUUUUCCAAAAAUCAUUUCUAGGUACAUAGGUAUCUAUUUAAUCAGAGAAACACAAAUGGUUUUCCAAGAUUCAACCACUAGCUAGGAACGGUCAUUCCCGCUGUUUUGACCGCAUUUUUGAAACGGGAAUAAAAAAUUCAAAAAAAUCAAAAAAUUGGUAAACCUUCGCAUUGUGUCAUCAUAUGUGACCGAGUUUCCAGGAAAAAUAAUAAACUUGUAAUACGGCAAUUUUUUUAAAAAAGUGUUCUCAGAAAUGAGCUAUCAUGCGUGAAGAUUCAUGGCUUUCAAGCCAAAUGAUCAAUCUUAUGGCCACAUUCAUGGCAUAGUUUGUUCAAAUGACCUCAUAUUGUGCACAAGGGUGAAUCUUGGAAUUCCAAACAAUGUUGCCUAAGGGAGUUUUCAUUUUCUUUGCACGGAAAAUUCAUUUUCCAUUUUUCGAGUGCCCGCAAUGAGGUUUUUUUGUGAAGGAGCUACCAAAUAAUUGUUGCAAAAACGGACUAAAUCAAUUUUAUAAAAUACUAGGCCUUGUUUAAUGCACAGUUGACAAAAUGGUUGGGUGUAAAAAAAAUUUAUCCACCUCUUGUGAAAAAGACAAAUUUCCGCCGAUUCAGUAGGAAGCGGGUCAAAUUUGAACUGCAGCUACCUUAUAGUUUGCUCUUUAUUUUUUCCAAAAAUAAUUUCUAGGUACAUAAGCAUCUAUUUACGCAUAAAUACAUGGUUUGGUGGUGAUACGUUGAGUUUUGGACGGUGGCCCAGGGCCCCAACUCCAAAGCGCGUAGUCUCGCAUGCCCGCGGCGUGGUCACCGCAUGACCGUGGCGUUGCCAUGCGUUCUGGGAAGCCUUGGCAUGUCUAGUAGGUUUGGCAGUCCCCAGGUAGAUGCUUGGAAGAAAAUAACAACAGAAGAAUGUCACGAGGAGACCGAACAAUGCUCAAACAUGAAUUAGCACCCAAGUGUUUGAUUAGUGGUACGGAAAAUGCACAUGGCCGAUGGGCCUGAGUUUUGGCCGAGGAUGAUCAUCUACUAAGGACACUAUCUUGGAAAAUUUGCAGCUCAAAUGGAGGAGCCUAGGUGUCACUUGCUUUGCAACGUACCACACUAGACAGAAAUAUGAAUGCUGAAGCCACACUCACAUGUAUUGUUAGAUGGGGCUCAAAUUUUGUGGAGAGCAAUGAUUUGGGAAUAUAGAAGAUGUGGCAAAAUUUUAGCUCAUUAGGAUAUGCCAAGCUAGUACUUCCUUCACAACAGUUCGAGUUGAACAAAAACUUUGGAAAUUUGCCGAGGAAGAUUUACCACGCAAAUGGAGUUGAAUAUUGUCAUGAGGCAAUGGUUUGGAUAGUAAAGAAUGCCCAUUUUUUUGGGAAUUUUGGGAAUGACAGAAAUAUUGGUUGCUUCACAACCUAGGGCAAAAAUUGAGACAUGGACAUGACACCUAGGCAAAACUGUUGAGGUGGCACCUAGUCAUAGCAAUAAGUACCAAUGCAUCCACGUUUACAACCUCAUGACCAUUUAUAUUGGUCGUAAUCAGGUAGAAAUAAGGUCAUUGGCCACUCUUGUCUGCUUUGUGACCAUUUGGUGUAUGCAAUUUCAGGGUUUGAGCCCUUCCAAGCGAAAUGGCCGUGGAUUUACGACCAAUUCAGCUGGGGUCACUAAGAGAAUGUCACAAGUUGACAUAUUUCUUGUAGUGUAGUUCCAUCUCUUGAAACUUUCUAGGGUUUCUCUAUUAAAUUUCCCUCCACAAAAUCUCUAUAAUACAUUAUCAGUUCAUAAAUACUAUAUUUACAAUAUUCCUUCCAAGGAAAUAUCUAUGAAUAUAAACUACAAUCUUUGGUAUUUGGUUUUUACAAUAUAAAAUUAUAUUUUUAUACAACUUGGACUAACAUUCAGAAAUGAAAAAACCAGUACCCGAAAGAAAUUACAUAAAAUCACGGGAAAGUCAUUUCAUAGCCAUUUAAAUAGAUGCCAGUUGUGCCAUGUUUCCUUCUCCCCACCAGUCUCAGGUUCUUUUACCUCAACCUUCUCACCGAACUUCAACGGCGGCAAUCAGCAAAACAACUUUGGUGGCAAAAUUGCCAGGGCUUGGAUAUGUAGCUUCUUAUCCCAAGAUCCAUGUUUGCAAUCUCGAACUUACAUUAGUUAAUGUUCUUUGUUCUUAGCAACAAAUUUGUAUCAAUCUGUCCUCCUAAAUGUUGUUCUCGAGCAAAAAAUAAAGCUCAGUCUCCUUGAUUGAUGUUAUUGAAGAUUUUCACUCCACUAUGCUGGUCCAUGACACUAAAUUAUGAAAGCUGACCUUGGAUACACCCCAAGAUUUGGUAUGUUAACAUUGUUGCACUGUUCACAAGUUAGGAUUUCUUAUUUUUCUCUAUACUAGUUUAUUUUGAUCUGAUAUGCAGUUAUCUGUUAACGGACAGAUGACAAGGUCAGCAAAGUGAUAUGCAGAUCCCAUUGUUAGUGAUGAUGAUAUUGUCAAAAUUUUAGUCCAUCAACAAAUUUAUUCGUUGUACUAGCAACAUAAACUUUAUCCUUGGUUAUCUAGGUAUUAGUUACAGUUCGAGAAUUAUAUGUUGAAGAAGGAUAUGCUUAUUUUAGGCCAUAUACUAUUGACACAAGCCCUAGUUACCAUGGUGUUGUCGAGAUUCUGAGUGAUGUAGAACAAUAUUAAAGUUGUAGUGAGGAACUGAUUCCAAUGCGUAAUUUAUCAACGAGAGGGGAACUGGAAUUCUGAACAUCUAGAGAGUGAUGUUAUCUUAAUACAGUUAAUAUAAUUCUAGUAUCCUUAGAUUUGUAGAUGUUUCUGAAUUAAUAGAUAGAAUUUAGUAAAAUAUUCUAGAAGUUUGAGAGUAAGUGUUACAUUAUCUCAAAGAUUUCUUUAAGGAAGGGGGAUUUGGUCUGAUAUGUUGAAAUCUUUUUCAUUUUCAUAGUGGAUCUUCGGAAAAAUAGACAUUAUUCUUUUUUAGUAAAUUGGUAUUUGCUUCCGAAAUUCCAAUUAUAUCAAUACUUUAUUUAAUUUACUCCUAUUUAGCUUAUAUUAAACUUCGAUUACAUUGCAAUAAAAUGUGUAGCGUAAUAGACUUGAUGAAAUAGGUUACUAAACUAGAAACUUUUUGAUGCAACUAUGCAAAUUCAUGUAAGUGACCCGGUAGAACUCUGCGUCCUUCGAUUCAAGGGAUAUUGUAGGUUUUCACAUCUUUUCUACUAAGAUUGUACUUCAAUCGACAAUGAUGUAAUCGACUGAUCUUCUAGUAAAUAUAAAUGUUGUUCAAUUAUAUUGAGCAAUCUUUACUAAUUCGAUAGUUUCUCAUCCUAUAAAUUCUUCUCAAUAUAUACAUAUAAUUAGUUUAUCAUAUCAGCGAGUUAACACUUCUAGUAUGCAUUCAGUUAGUAUUAAGUAUCCGUAAGUGGGUCACCAUGACAACAAUAUCAAUUAAUAUAAAUUGUUCAAACUCUUUAAUAUGGCAUUACAAUUCAAAUAUUGCGUCUAAUCAUUCUAAGAUACUACCAUUACAUAUAAUUAAAAUAUUCAAUACAAACUUAUAUGUGUGAACACACAACACCUUAAUCCUUAUUACAAAUAGUAAAUAUUUAGUUCAUGCAUUAGAAUUUUGAUCUACAAUUUCUACAUCAUUUGUUGAAGAUGUAAAGGCAGCUUUCCUUUAUUAAAGUCCAAUUUUUGUAACUGCCAUAACAUUAGUACUCGUGAAAUAGGAAAUGUGUACUACAAAAACAAAUGUUCAAUUAUGUAAGUAGCAAUAGAGAUGAUAAACAAAUUAGAGUGACACAUUAACAUUCAAAUGUACCUUAGUUAGUUUGUAUUUUACUUCAGUGCCAUCAAAGUACAUUGCUAUCAUCAGAGAUGCAAUUCCUGAAUCUUCCCUGCAUUUGCCAUAAUUAGAAGAAAUAAAUUAGUUUUACAGAUAAACGUGAAUAAUGGAAUAUACCUCUAGAGUGGUACGUUGGAUGAUGAAAUUUCUUUGACCAUCCAAGAUGAUGAAAGCAACUCUAAAUACUCAAGAACUUUUCGGUACAGUCAAACAUUAUGUUAUAUAUAAGCACAUGCUUCAUGCCUUUCUUUCAUGUAUGAUGCAGUACCAUUUGCACACUGUGGAUCUAAAGUGUUACUUACUUUCUCCUUCAUAUCCCACACAUAAGUUGACCAAGCCUGGUGCAUCGGCACAACAAUAUGAACUAAAAGUAUUUUGCACAAUGAAAAAUAUUCAUUAGAUUUGGAUAGGUUAAAACAACCAUAUGUCAACAUUUGAUUUAACUAUGUCAAUAAAUUUUCUACUUGACCGACUUGCAUUGUUACAAAUAGAACCUUCAUUUGUACAAGCAGCAAAUAAUCACAAUUAUAUUAACAGAUCAAACAAAACAAGUUAUUCAAAAAAUAUUACCUUAUGAUCUUGCUACUACAUUUCUGAGAACAGAAACUUGUUCAGAGUGCUUGGCUGAAUUUCAUUAUGUAACACAAUAAAGUAAGAUACAUAUCUACAAACAAUAAUUUUAGAAGACAAGUAUAAUACAUAACUCAUUUAUUUUGGUAAUACAUGUCGCCUUAUUUCAUCUCUCACAGAAAGCAUGGACUCCGGCCUCUUGGAGUGCAACACAUGCAAGUUUGGUUUGACAACAAGAAGACUUUAUCUAUGAAUUCAAUAUCUUCUCUAAUUAUGUCAUCCUUCUUCAUGUUUCGUUCACUAACUCUUUUAGCAUGCCUCAGUUUGAAUUCUUGAGUUAUAAAAUGUCGCACCUUCAAAUGUAAUUUAGAUCGGCGCCCUAAAAUUAACAACAUUUAGAAUUUCUAAAGUAUAUAAAUGAAAAUGUACCAUUUGUGGAUAAGUAUCUCUUAUAUUGUCACUAAACUUUCCAUUUGAUAUACGUUAUGGAUUUGUUGAAGAUAAGAAAAAUUGCACGUUCUUUCAAACAACUUCAACCCUGUGAUAUUUUCAUUGUUCUUCAUUGAUUCUUUAGGCAAAAUAUGACUGGCAUAUCCAACUGACUCAGAUUUCUGUGGAAUAAUUGUCCUUUCAGACUUUUCAACAACAAAAUUGUCAGACUUCUAUCAAUCAUACUCUGCAUAUAACAUACAACUUUAGGUCUUUCAAUCUACAAAGCAAUGUAAAAUAAAGUAUUCUUGAUUAAUUAUAACAAAAUUAAACACACAAAGCUACUUGAACAACACACUACAUACUAUGCAUGCAUCAUAUGUUGUGACUCGAUCUCUUGUUUUCUUACAAGAUGGAAUCAAAAGAUUUAUGUGGCGCCUAUCAUAGUCUACAAUCCUAGGCUGUUUGGUGUGUCUCUUUGGUACAAUUUGGUCAUGAGUAUCUAGGUAGAAUAUCGGCAUACAUAAUGUACAUGAUUAUGUAAUCAUCCAACAUUUAUUAUGGUAAUUGAGACGCACAUGAUAAUUAACUUGUAGAAAGAAGUGACAGCCAUAAAACUAUAUGACAGGACUAUUUGACUGAAUCUGUUGUUGUGCAUAUGUAAUAGCAUCGAGUAGAUAACUCAUUGCAUACUCACACUAGUUAUAUUCUCCUAUGUAAGCAGUCCUACAUAGAGCUUGUUGGGGAACGUAUUAUGCAAUUUAAAAAAAAAUCCUACGAUCACGAAAGAUCUAUCUAGGAGAUGCAUAGCAACGAGAGGGGGAGAGUGUGUCCACGUACCCUUGUAGACCGAAAGCGGAAGCGUUAGUUAACGCGGUUGAUGUAGUCGAACGUCUUCACGAUACAACCGAUCCACGUACCCUCCUCUCUUCCACUAAGGCCCAUGAAGGCCCAUUAAUCCCCGGGGGGUUCCGGUAACCUCCCGGUACUCCAAAAAAUGUCCAAACCUUUCCGGUGUCCGAACAUAACCUUCCAACAUAUCAAUAUUUAUGUCUCGACCAUUUAGAGACUCCUCAUCAUGUCCCUGAUCUCAUCCAGGACUCUGAGCAAACUUCGGUCAUCAAAAACACAUAACUCAUAAUACAAAUCGUCAUCGAACGCUAAGCGUGCGGACCCUACGGGUUUGAGAACUAUGUAGACAUGAUCGAGACACAUCUUCGAUCAACCAAUAGCGGAACCUGGAUGCUCAUAUUGGUUCCUACAUAUUCUACGAAGAUCUUUAUCGGUCAAACCGCACAACAACAUACGUUGUUCCCUUUGUCAUCCGUAUGUUACUUACCCGAGAUUCGAUCGUUGGUGUCAUCAUACCUAGUUCAAUCUCGUUACUGGCAAGUCUCUUUACUCGUUCCGUAAUGCUUCAUCCCGUAACUAACUCAUUAGUUACAUUGCUUGCAAGGCUUAAUAGUGAUGAGCAUUACCGAGAGGGCCCAAAGAUACCUCUCCGAUACACGGGGUGCCAAAUCCUAAUCUUGAUCUAUGCCAACCCAACAAACACCUACGGAGACCUCGAGAUCAUAUUUAUAAUCACCCAGUUACGUUGUGACAUUUGAUAGCACACAAGGUGUUCCUCCGGUAUUCGGGAGUUGCAUAAUCUCAUAGUCAGAUGACAUGUAUAAGUCAUGAAGAAAGCAGUAGCAAUAAAACUGUAACGAUCAUAAUGCUAAGCUAACGGAUGGGUCUUGUCCCAUUAAUCAAAUGACAACACAUGCCUAUGGUUAGGAAACAUAACCAUCUUUGAUGAGCUAGUCAAGUAGAGGCAUACUAGGGACACUGUGUUUUGUCUAUGUAUUCACACAUGGACUAAGUUUCCGGUUAAUACAAUUCUAGCAUGAAUAAUAAACAUUUGUCAUGAUAUAAGGAAAUAUAAAUAACAACUUUUAUCAUUAGUUACCUUGCUGUUUUUAUAUUUUCAGAUUACAAAAACCUAUAUCUACCAUCCAUAUUGCACUUGUAUCACCAUCUCUUCGCCGAACUAGUGCACCUAUACAAUUUACCAUUGUAUUGGGUGUGUUGGGGACACAAGAGACUCUUUGUUAUUUGGUUGCAGGGUUGCUUAAGAGAGACCAUCUUCAUCCUACGCCUCCCACGGAUUGAUAAACCUUAGGUCAUACACUUGAGGGAAAUUUGCUAAUAUCCUACAAACCUCUGCACUUGGAGGCCCAACAACGUCUACAAGAAGAAGGUUGCGUAGUAGACAUCAAGCUCUUUUCUGGCGCCGUUGCCGGGGAGGCUAGGUAAGCGGCAGUCACACCCCGUCAACUAAGCUCUUUUCUGGCGCCGUUGCCGGGGAGGUGAGCGCUUGAAGGUAUAUCUUUAGAUCUUGCAAUCGAAUCUUUUAGUUUCUUGUUUUAUCACUAGUUUAGUUUAUAAAAUAAAACUACAAAAAAAUGGAAUUAAGGAUGUCUCAUAUGCUUCAUCUUUUUAAUGUCUUCCGUGAAAAUAAGGAUUCCGAUAAUUGUACUCAAUUGCUAGAGGAAGAAUGCAUUAAAAUGUUUGGCACUAAAUCUUUGAAUGAUGAGCAUGAUUGCAAUGUUGUUAGUAUGAAUUCUUUGAAUACCCAUGAUGCUAAUGAUAUGCAAAGCCACAAGCUUGGGGAUGCUAUGUUUGAUGAAGAUGAUAUGUUUAGUCCCCCAAGUUUUGAUAUGCAAAUUUAUUAUGAUGAGCCUCCUAUCUAUGAUGAUUAUUGUGAUGACACGUAUGCUAUAAAGAAUAAUAAUAACCAUGAAACUUGUCAUCUUGAUUUUAAUUUUCCAUUGGAUUAUGCCUCACAUAAUAGUUAUUUUGUUGAGUUUGCUCCCACUACUAUUCAUGAGAAGAAAUUUGCUUAUGUGGAACGUAAUAAAAAUUCUAUGCUUGUAGAUCAUGAAAAGAAUGCUUUAGGUGCUGGUUAUAUUGUUGAAUUCAUUCAUGAUGCUACUGAAAAUUAUUAUAAGGGAGGAAUAUAUGCUUGUGGGGAUUGCAAUAAUAUCAAGUUUCCUCUCUAUGUACUUAAAAUCUUGAAGUUAUGCUUGUUUUGCUUUCCUAUGCUAGUUGAUUCUUGUUCCCAUAAAUUGUUUGCUCACAAAAUCCCUAUGCAUAUGAAGUGGGUUAGACUUAAAUGUGCUAGUCAUAUUCUUGAUGAUGCUCUCUUUUGCAGAUGUGACUUUGAGGUGGUUUCGUACCCUACAAUAAUCUCUUCGUUUGUUCUCCGCUAUUAGUGACUUUGGAGUGACUCUUUGUUGCACGUUGAGGGAUAGUUAUAUGAUCCAAUUAUGUUAUUAUUGUUGAGAGAACUUGCACUAGUGAAAGUAUGAACCCCAGGCCUUGUUUCAAUGUAUUGCAAUACCGUUUGUGCUCACUUUUAUCAUUAGUUAUCUUGCUGUUUUCAUAUUUUCAGAUUACAAAAACCUAUAUCUACCAUCCAUAUUGCACUUGUAUCACCAUCUCUUCGCCGAACUAGUGCACCUAUACAAUUUACCAUUGUAUUGGGUGUGUUGGGGACACAAGAGACUCUUUGUUAUUUGGUUGCAGGGUUGCUUGAGAGAGACAAUCUUCAUCCUACGCCUCCCAUGGAUUGAUAAACCUUAGGUCAUCCACUUGAGGGAAAUUUGCUACUGUCCUACAAACCUCUGCACUUGGAGGCCCAACAACGUCUACAAGAAGAAGGUUGCAUAGUAGACAUCAUGCCCCACGCCUGGGCGGGUGCGGCAGCAGCAGCAUCUGCACCUGGCCGCUCCUCCGGUGGAGUUUUGCCGGGGGAGGGGCCAGCUCCUUGAACUUCUCGGGGCCGUCUCCUUGGGUGGCUGGCGUCGGGAGGUUGCGGAAGAGGAAGAGGGCGGGUGGCAAGGCCUUCAACUUGGAGUACGCUGACACCGACGCCUUCGUCGCGUGUUUGGCGACCUGCCGCCUCGUCUUCCAGCUCCUUUCCCGGCACCGUCAACACCGGCCCAUCCUUGGGCAGCGACCGAGGUGUUCUCUUGGUGCUUUCUGCUGCUCGUAGCUCGCCUAGGCACCCCUUUUGCCCUUUCGCCUUCUUGACCUGCCUCCUGAGUAGAGGGACAAGAAAGGGAUUACGGUCAUCUCAUCUCUUUUUUAGUCUGUAAGCCUUCGGGCCUUCGUUAAAUUUAGAACUUGUAAUCCCCUUGCUCAUGUUUUUCAUUCCGUAUGAACUGUACCUGUGUGGGAUGUUUUUGAUGAAAAAGGGAUGUUUGCCGGGUUUUUCGUUCAUGGGUGAAACCUGUGACAAGGAGCGAAUCCUUGUUACUAUUUAAGAUAAACGUUUUUCGCCCGGCAACAGGCCUUGCCGCCCCCACUUCGCUCGACCAUUCUCGCGCCCUUGGUGGAGGCAGGGAUGAAGUGGGCUUAGGCUCCGCGGCUACAACCAAAUCCGGACCCAGGAGAUAAUCCUUAGGUAUAGGAAAAAGGGGAGCACGGUAGCCUGGAGAUAAAACGAGGUUUCACAUGUCCCAGUUCCAUACCGAAAUGCAUGACAGAGCAUGAAAGACUUAUCUAGAUCUGCAGCCUCCGGCAACCUUGUUCUGCCGCGGUUGGAUCCUUGUACUUGCAGCCCCCGGCAACUUUGGUUCGCCGGGGUCGGGACGCCGGUCCAUUCCCUUUCUUCCAAGUAGCUCAGCAGAAGUGCCCAUGUGCCCUGCGAACCAAAGGAGGGCAGAAGAGAACAGAGAGAUGCGCACUCGACCUCUAGGCUAGGGGUUAGUCGCCGCUAAGCACUAUCAACCCUAACCAAGGAAGAGACUCGACCUAGCAUGCAUGCUAUAACUUAGGGUGCUAGCGCUUCAUUUAUUUAUGCUCAGGGUCUGCGCCUGGCUUUGUACAGAGGGUUACAUGCCUCGUCAGCAAGGCUUGUACAAAAGGUGGCUUGCCGGGGGGCCCAGCAAGCCGCGCCUUAUGGGUAAAACUUGCGAAGAUGCUCGAUGUUCUAGGAGUUACUCACUAGGAUGGCAUCUUCGGUCUCCAGGCAGACUGCGCCGGGCCUGGUGACUCGUAUUACUCGAUAAGGGCCUUCCCACUUCGGCAUCAACUUGUUGGUAUUCUUGGCCGACUGAACGCGCUGAAGAACAAGGUCGCCUUCCUCAAAACUUCGGGCAUGAACCUUGCGGCUAUGGUAGCGGCACAAGGCUUGCUGGUAGCGUGCUUCCCUCACAGCCGCCCGAAGACGAUCUUCCACAAGGAGCAUUGCGUCAUCUUGGCGCAACUGCUCUUGCUCAAACUCAUCAUAAGCAAGCACUCGAGGCGACCCGUAUAUGAGUUCCGUGGGGAGAACUGCUUCUGCCCCGUAGACCAGGGCAAAGGGUGUCUGGCUGGUGGCUCGAUUUGGCGUCGUCCUGAUCGACCAAAGAACCGCCGGCAAUUCAUCAAUCCAGCGCCUUCCGCUCUUGCGCAGCUUGUCAAAAGUCUUUGUCCUCAGGCCUCGCAACACUUCAGCAUUUGCCCUCUCCGCUUGGUCGUUGCUCCGUGGGUGUGCCACGGAAGCAAAACAGACCUUGCUGUCGAGGUCUUGAAUGUAUUGCAUGAAGGUGUGGCUUGUGAACUACGUGCCGUUGUGGGUGAUGACUCUGUUUGGCACACCAAAACGGCAGACUAGUCCCUUAAAGAACUUGAUGGCUGACUGUGCUGUCACCUUCCUCACUGGUUCCACCUCUGGCCACUUUGUGAACUUGUCGAUUGCAACGUACAAGUACUCAAAGCUCCCAAUAGCACGGGGGAAAGGGCCCAGUAUGUCGAGCCCCCAGACCGAGAAUGGCCAGGAGAGAGGGAUCAUUUGAAGGGCUUGAGCUGGUUGAUGAAGCUUCUUUGAAUGGAACUGACAUUCUUCACACUUGGUUACUAGUGUCGUUGCAUCCUGGAGGGCAGUGGGCCAGAAGAAACCUUGCCGGAACGCCUUGCCGGCAAGGGCCCUCAACCUUAUGUGGGAGCCACAUAUGCCUCCAUGUAUCUCUGCCAACAGCUCCAGUCCUUCCUCCCGGGGGAUGCACUUAAAUUUCACACCGUUCGAUCUCUUUCUAUACAGGACGUCAUCGAUGAACUGGUAUAAGGCGGACCGACGGGCUACUUUCUCCGCUUCUUCCUGCUCCUCAGGAAGUUCCCCUGUCUGGAGGAAUCGGACGGUAUGCUGUGCCCAUGCCGGAGCCUGGGGCUCGACAACAAGGACCAAAGGCAUUUCCUCUGCCAUGGGAACGGCUGUCUCUACGGCCAGGGCGUGACGCCCUGCCGGAGCCAGCUGCUCCUUGGCAGGCACAGUGUCCACGGCAACAUCCUUGCCGGCAGCCCCAGGGGCUCGGCGGGAAAGUACUUGCCGAGGCCUGAUUUCCUCCGCUUGUUCUGCUCCAUUGAUGGUUCGACAGAUGGCUGAUUAACUGGAGCAAAAAGGUACCUGGUUCCACAGGUAGCUUGAAUGCAGCGCGCUUUGACAGGUAAUCGGUGAUCUCGUUCUCCGCUCGGGGAAAGUGCUCCGCUUGGAUACCGUCAAAGCGCUCCUCCAGCUUCCUCACUUCAUCUACGUAGGCCUCCAUCAACGAGCUCUGGUAAUCCUUGUUGACCUGUCUAACAACACGCUGCGAGUCACCCCUGACGAUGAGCUUUUUAAAUCCGAGGUCUGUCGCGAUCCUGAGACCGGCAAGCAGCCCCUCGUACUCAGCAGUGUUGUUGGUGGACAUCUCCCUGGGAAAGUGCAUCUGGAUCACAUACUUGAGGUGCUCCCCGGUGGUCACGACGGGCAGCACACCAGCACCGGCGCCUUGCAGCGAGAAAGCCUCGUCAAAGUACAUAACCCAGUCGCGAACUGUUUCCUUACCGGGGAGGGUAGUCUCCUGGAUCUCUUCAUCAGGCAUUGAGGUCCAUUCUGCAAUGAACUCCGCCAAGACUCUGCUCUGGAUCGUUGAGGUAAUUUAAAAUCUCAAACCAAAGCUUGACAACUCCAAGGCCCACUCCACAAUCCUUCCGGUCGCGUCUGGGUUGUGCAGUGUCCGUUGCAACGGGAGGCGGGUGACGACAGUGAUCUCGUGGGCUUGGAAGUAAUGACACAGCUUCCUCGAGGCCAUAAGGAGGCCGAAGAGAAAUUUCUGCACACCGGAAUACCUUGAUCUAGCCCCCUGCAAGAGGGAGCUUACAAAGUAAACCAGGUGCUGCAUCAUCUUCUUCUUCUGCACCACUCCGCUUAAUGGUGCGGGCUUUGUGCCGAUGGCAUCAGAUUCUGCGGGGGGCCUCGCCUUGCCGGCACCAGGUCCUUCCGGGGGAGCCUCUGACUUGUCGCCUAUCGGUCCUGCUGCUGCCACUGCCUCUUCGUCAACCUCCAUCUGCGCCACUAGCGCGGCACUGACCACUUGAUUCGUCGCCGCCAGAUAUAGCAGCAACGGCUCUUGUGGUUUAGGCGCGACUAGUAUCGGUGUAGAGGAAAGGUAUCUCUUCAGGUCUUGCAACGCCGCCUCAGCCUCUGGGGUCCACUCCAUAGGGCCCGACUUCUUCAGGAUUUUGAAAAAGGGGAGGGCACGCUCGGCAGACUUGGAGAUGAAUCGGCUCAUGGCGGCAGCGCAGCCAGUUAGCCGACGCACGUCCUUGAUCCGCUUGGGCGCCUCAAUCUGCUCGAUAGCCUUGAUCUUGUCUGGGUUUUCCUUGAUCCCAUGAUGCGACACAAAGAACCUGAGAAGUUUGCCGGACGGAACGCCGAAGACACACUUCUCAGGGUUCAGCUUGAGGUUGAUCUUGCGUAGGUUGGCAAACGUCUCUUCUAAGUCUUGCACAAGAGUUGCCAUGUCCUUGGUUUUGACCACAAUGUCAUCCAUAUAUGCUUCCAUAUUUCUAUGCAGCUGGGGUUCAAAACCAAUUUGGACCGCUCUUGCGAAUGUCGAACCAGCACUCUUCAACCCGAAGGGCAUCCGUAAAAAGCAGUACGUACCACAUGGGGUGAUGAAUGUUGUCUUCUCUUCAUCUUCUCUUGUCAUGAAGAUCUGGUGGUAGCACGAAUAGGCAUCGAGGAAUGAUAACAGAUCACACCCGGGCGUGGAGUCAACAAUCUGGUCGAUGCGCGGCAACAGGAAGGGGUCCUUAGGACAAGCCUUAUUGAUAUUUAUGUAGUCAAUACACAGCCUACACUUCCCAUUUUCCUUGCGCACCACCACCGGAUUGGCCAACCACGUCGGAUGGAGCACUCCUCUCACCAAACCUGCCGCUUCCAAUUUCCUGAUCUCCUCUGUGAUGAACUCCUGUCGUUCCAAAGCCUGCUUCCUGACCUUCUGCUUGACGGUCCGUGCAUGAGGACAGACAGCAAGAUGGUGCUCAAUCACCUCCCUCGGAACACCGGGGAUGUCGGAUGCUUGCCAUGCAAACACAUCGACAUUCACCCGCAGGAAGGCGAUGAGCGCGCUUUCCUAUUUGCUGUCAAGGGUGGAGCUUAUGGUGAAAGCUCCUCCCCGUGCCAUCCUUCUUGAUGGGCACCCUCUUGGUCUCUGGUGGCGUAGCUCUGCAUUUCUUGCUCUUGCCGGUGGAGCUCUCUAGCAUGUCCUCGACGGUAGCACAACACUCCGAAGAGGUGCGCUUGCCAAAGUGGGUGUGAGAGGUCUUGCCGGUCUUCUUCUUUCCUCCCGGGGCUUCAGCAGCAGGAGCAAGUGCCUUGGCAGCAGCUGCUGCGACUGCCUCCCGGUAGAGUAGGUCGGCGCAGAUCAGCGCGUCCUUCUUGUCGGAGGGGACGGUGAUGAUGUUCAUCGGCCCAGGCAUCUUCAGCGUGUUGUAAGCGUAGUGCGACGCCUCCAUGAACAUGGCCAGUGCCGGGCGGCCGAGGAUCCCGUUGUAGGGCAAGGGGAUCUCGGCUACGUCAAAGACAAUCCUCUCUGUCCUGUAGUUCAGCUCACCUCCAAACGUCACGGGCAACGUGACCUUCCCUUUUGGCUGGCUCCUCCCCGGGUUUACCUCUUGAAAUGUACUCGUUUCCUCGAGGUCCUCAUCAGGAAUUUGCAGCCUUUUGAUCACAACGGGUGACAUCAAGUUCAGACCGGCCCCGCCGUCAACCAGCAUCUUGUUCACCUUGAGGUUGCGUAUCGUUGGUGAAACCAACAAUGGCAAACACCCGACCGCAGUUGUGCGGUCAGGGUGAUCCUCGGCGUCAAAGAUGAGGGGCGUGCUGGACCACCUCAGCGGCUUCUGAGCGUCGAACGAGGGUUCCGCUGCUGUAAUCUCACGCGCCCACUGUUUGAGCUGGCGGUGAGAAGUAUGCAGCGAGGCGCCACCGUCGACGCACAUGGCCUCUAUAGCCUUCUGGAACUCUUGCUCACUGGACUCGUCGUCCUCGUUGUGAUCAUCAUCUUCUUGCUUCUUGUCGCGGCCCCGAGCGGGCCUCUCUUUUUGAUUAUCCUUGCCGCGAUAGCCUCCUUGGCCGCCGCGCUUCUUGCCGGAUCCCUCGGCACCAUCCUGGCCCUUCUCCUUGCCCGCCUCUCGUACUCAGCUUUUUGCUUCUCGGCAAGCAGCUCGACUUGUCGGCAGUUCUGGAGGUCGUGGCCCAUGGUGCGGUGGAUCUGGCAGUACUGGUUGUCGGAACUCCCUGUCUUGUCGGCGGCCGCUAAGGCCCGGCAGGUGGUGCACCCGGCAAUCUCCUUGCCGGGGUCGUCUGCCUUGGUCUUCUUGGCAGCGCCGGUGCUGUCGGAUCCCUCGACGGCAAGCACGAUCUUGCCCUUGCGUUUCCUGUUGCGAUGCCGGCCCUUCUUCGUCGGGGCGGCGGUGUCUUCAUCAGUAGAGUCGGUUUCCGCGUCGGCAUCCUCGCCGGGAUACUUCCUUCCCUCUUCAGCCCGGGCGCACCUGUCGGCCAGAACAUAAAGUUCGGCCACAUCCUUAACCUUGUUCAUCGCCAGCUCUUCGUGCAUCUUGCGGUUGCGCACGUUCUGAUGGAACGCGCUGAUCAGGGCGGCGGGAUGAACAUCGGGGAUGUUGUACUGCACCCGGCUGAACCUCUGGAUGUACUUGCACAGGGUUUCUCCAUCCUUCUGGGGAAUGAUAUGCAAAUCACUCACCUGGCCGUGAGCUUGGUGGCCUCAAGUGAAGGCACCAAUGAACUCAUGACACAGGUCUGACCAAGAGGAAAUGGAAUCCGCCGGCAAGUGCAUCAACCAAGACAUGACGUUGGGCUUCAAUGCCAACGGGAAGUAAUUGGCAAGCACCUUGUCGUCGUGAGCUCCAGCAGCUUGCAUCACGAUGGUGUAGAUGCUGAGGAACUCCGACAGAUGGGACUUGCCAUUGUACUUCUCACCAACGUCGGGCUUGAAUGUGCGGUGGGACGGCCACUGGAACUGCCGCAGCUCAUGGGUAAAAGCUGGGCACCCCACCUCGUAAGGUAAGCCGCCGGAGCUCCCCGGCGCUGGGUGGUCCAUAGCGGGUCCCGCCCGCUUGUCCGACUGGUGGCGCAUGUCGCGCCGGCGCUCGAUGGUGGUUCGAGCAUCUUCGUGGGCUCGUUCUCGAAGAACUUGGUGUUGGUCGCGGUGAGCCCGCAGGUCGGACGACGCUAUGGAGAUGUUAUCACAAGCGUCGUCACGACGGGCUGUCACCCGCGAUGGCUGGUGUGGAGGAGGAGUGUGCACCGUGACCACAGCACCCCCGGUCCUUCCACCGUCGACAUGUGGUGGCUCGAUGGAGCGCCGGCCCGAGAGCCCCACCGGUCGCGGAUCAUCUUUAUUGGCGAUGGCGACGAGGCUCUGGAUGAUGGAUCUCCACUCGUCGAGCUUCUCCGCAGCCGGAGGGAAGUCGAGGAGCAGCUGCGCGCGCGCCAAAGCUUCCGCUGGCGUGGGCGGUGGUUUCAACUAUGUGGACCGUGGCGCGCUUCGACUUCUAACUACGUUAGAAGGAGCUCUACCAUGGCCCAGCGGCUGCGUGCCAUUUUCGCCAGUACUUCGGCGAGCAUGCUAGACUCCUUCGUCCCGCGGACGAUGCACAGGGCUCUUCCCACAGCGGUGUCCGGGGUCUUCCGCGUGGUGAUGCUGCUCGUCGCGUGCACCGUGGGAAGAGCGCGCCAUGGGCGCCGACGUGGGCGUCUUGGAGGUUGCUGCGCCACCCGUGGGUGGCAGAACGACACUCUUGGAGGGCCCCGCGCCGCUUGUAGGGGGCCCAGCCCCGUCGUUGGAUCUGGCAGCGUGCGGCCCGUCGUCUGGUGCACGAACGACGCCGCUCCUGAGGCACUGACUGCCAGGGCGAUGCUGAUGCUCACGGACCGCGGCCCGGGUCCUGUCCACGACCGGCCCGCUGCUUGCCCGCACUGGCACGGGUCAUUCGGCUCCCGACAAGCCGAUCGCUGUGGCCGUCUUCUUCUUGGGAGCCAUGUCGAUGGAUAUCUGCUAGGCUAACUACUAAACAAGAUUCUCACAAUCGCGUACCCUACCUGGCGCGCCAAAGAUGUCGGUGAGAAACGACACCUAUGGGAUCACGAGAAUCCCUACUACGGUUGCCGGGGUGCAGGGUUGUGAGAGGAGCAGGAUUAGCAGUCAACACAAGGUUCGUUUACCUAGGUUUGGGCCGCGAGGAUGCGUAAUACCCUAGUCCUGCUUUGGUGGCUGUAUUUCAGAGAGUUCUUAGGCUCUCGAACUAGCUAUGGUGGAUGCGUGGUUUCAAAGAGCCGAAUCCCUCUCCAGUAUGCCAUGGGCCUCCUUUUAUAGUCGAAAGGGGCUGCCACAGUGGCACACAGGAGGUGGAAAGGCCUACAGUGCUAUGAGCUUAUCGCUCGUAUUACAGGACAACAUGCAUUUAAUGCAUCGCUUAGGUGUCCCCUUGCUUUAUUGGGGAUGGGAACGAGGCCCGUCCCGUCCGUCGCCGCUCUGCCUUGCUUCGACACGCGCCCGGGCCAGCGAUAAAUGCGGCGCCAUGUAGGCAGGCAGGCUGCUGAGGUGGCGCGGUGGUGGAGCCUUCACGAAGAUCUGCAUGCCGCCACGCAUGCGUGUGCUGAGUUGGCCUAGAAGCUGCAUGUUGCCACGCAGGUGCCUGUCCAGCUGGUUGGGCUGGCAGCUGCAUGCGAACAGCGGUGGAGGCUUGGUUGGUGCGGGCCUGGCAGUGGCCCCGCUGACGCCCUCGGCAAGGGCCUUGCCGGGUGGCCCGGCAAGGGUCUUGCCGUGGCGCGCUGUCGUCCCCGGCAAGGAUCCUGCCAGGGGUCUUGUGGCUCUCCUCGGCAAGGAUCUUGCCGAGGACCGUUGUCUUUUAAUCCUCAUAUGAUCUUGAAUAUUCCUUGUCUUCACAAAGAUCUGCAUGCUACCACAGAGGUGCCUCCUGAGCCCUAGUUCCAACGUGGUUGGUUGAGUUGGAACCCAUGGGCUCGAGGGUGGCUCACUCUGUUGAUGAGGACGAGCCGCCCCGGUAAGGGUCUUGUCGGGGCCGCUGAGGCUGCCCCCGGCAAGGGUCUUGCCGGGGGGAACCUGCUUCGCCUCUCUGUUUAUUUGUGUUCUUGGCCCUGGUGUUGCCUUGGCUGUCUUGUACUUCGGCUUUUCUCUAGCUUCCCUCCCUUGCCCUGCUACGGGUGGUCAUGGCGCGCGGCUCCGACUGCCCGUGCACAAGUUAAGGGGUACAAAGGUGUGCCCCUACUUUUGUACACCAACACGUGGGCACGCUUUCUCAGUCGCGUACGUGGCGUUUGGUGCACCACAAUAGGCAAUGUCAGCACACAUCUUGUUCCAAGAACCGUCCGCGCUCGUUAUUACCAUCGCACACGCUUCUUUUAAUUAGAAUGUGUGCUCGUCUAGCGGACACAUGUUGAUCUAUCUAAUUGUUUCGGUUUGUUGUGGCUAAUCGCAAACAAUUCAUCUGUAUGAAGUGUAUGCCAUCAAUCACACACACCUUUGAUCUGGCAGACCGUUUCUGUUCUAUUGCCUAAUCACAAACAGUUAAUCCUUCUGAAUUGUAUGCCCUCAAUCGCACACACUUUAUCUAGCUGUCUAUUUCUCUUGUUCCGCCUCAUCACAAACAGUAAAUCCGAUUGAACUGUAUGCCGUAUAUCGCACACGCCUUCAUCUGACUGCCCAUUUCUGUUCUUCUUCCUCAUCGCAACCAGUUCAUUGAACUGAACCGUAUGCCGUGCAUCGCACACGCAACUAAAAUCUGAACCUUGUUUGAUGCAUCUGUCAUCGCAAAUGUUUUGCACCUUUUUGACGGGUUUUUUACACCACAGUUUGCGAUUAUUCCAUCGCACAUAGUUUCUUCGAAGGGUCUCUGAUCGUAGUUGUGGCACCUCGGCUCAGAGCGACCGGUUUACCCUGCAUUGCCAGCCCAUAGACCCUGUCUUCUAGCAACACACAACAUCUUGGUAUAGAAAACAACCGCUUUAUUGAUGCUAGCGGAUCAGAGUUUAUAUUACAACAGAUGUCGAGGCCAAGCGUCACGCACAGUGCGGCUGAACAAUAUGUACAUUAUUUAGUGAACAUAAAGGGGCCUCGAUCAUGAAAACUACGCGGCAGCGGAACAACGUCGUAGCAAAAGCUCCAUAGCACAAGGACAACGAUGUGGACACGAUCUAGACCCGGACAACACUCCUUUCCAACGAGACUUUCCUGAAAUUUGGCAUGAUACGCCAGGUCAGUACAUUGAAUGUACUUGCAAGCUCACAACAGGCAUAAUCAUAAUGACAAACAAUAUCAUGAUAAUUAACCAAUUAAUAAUAAUGCAACACCAUAUAUCCAACAUGCUGUGAUCAUGCUCGAACGUCCCUUGGGACGGACUUACCAACCGUGAUCAUUUACGGAUCACAAACAAAUCACCAUCGUGGUCUUGACAAGAGUAACUCGUGAUCCUUACGGCGAUCACAACCACGACCAAUAUUUGGUCUCGAACAUCUUGAUGGCCUUUCCGCCAUCAUCAACAGUGAAAGUUCAUAACUUAGUGUGCAAAUUUAUUAAACGUUGACUCAUGGUGGGACCUACUACGAGGCGUCCGUGACCGUGGACUCGGCUAUCGAUAGAUUAUAUACUCUGCAGAGGUACCACACUGUACCCACACCAUGGAACCCAUGGCCUCGCACUCCCAUUUGCGUGGACCAACGGCAUUCCGACAAAACCCCUCCAUUGCCAUGACACUCUCCCGGCCACUCCGACCCAAUCCCCAACGGGCUAGUCUUGUUUGGCCCCGUGUCUACCAAAGACACAACGACCACCGUCGUGGCCAAAACGGUCCCACUCAGGGACCCGGUACCAUAAUCUCAACAACGGGCACACAAGAUUAUGCCUGCUUACCGGGCCAGGGUAAGCAUGCCCAUAACCUUCCCUAGUUGGAGGCACCGACCAGAGGCAUGUCAAUGGACCGAAUCAAGGCCUUCCCACAAAGGCAAAUGUGGUUGCACUGGCAAAAACUCGAUUCAGCGUCACCAUGACCGAGUGAACGAUAUAUUCAAGUUGAGUUAUAUUCAGGUUCAACUUAAAAUGAAAAUGACCGGUGUCAUAGCAUGCCAUGAAAUGCAAUACUAGACAUGCAUCACAUAUUAACGAAAAUGAAUGAUGUCAACCAUAUUCACACUAAGCAUAAACAUCAACAACUUAUAUUACUUUCCUGGUCAGGGUAACUCUCACUUUAACAAGAUAUUUUGUAGCAAGUUUUAUUAUUUUUCUCAUGCAAGAAAAUAACUUCGAUUAAUUUCUCAUAUGCAUAGCAAAAAUUAUACUACCAUCACCACAAGCAAAUCCUAAUUUCUGUACCAACCAAGUUAGGUUCAAACAUUCUGUAAAUCAAGCAAAAUGGCUAAACAAGCACUUAACAGAAUACUUUCUAGCAAAUUUUACUAUUUUAUUUGUGCAAGGAAAUAACUUCCACAAGUAGAUCUUAGCUUCUUUACCAACUAAGCUAGUUUAAAACAUUCUGUAAAUCAAGCAUAAUAACUAACAAACGCUUAACAGAAUAUAAAUAACAUAAUAGUUAUUUAAAUGCAUGGAUUAAUUAUUUCAUUCAUGUAAGAAAAUCAUAAAUAUUGAAAUGACACCAUGAAAAUGUUGCUGUGGCUUGCCUUAGUGCAGAUGAGGUUCACAAGCCUUCUGGUGAUCCUCAAGACAAGCCUCACCCUCUGAAAAUAAUUUUAAAUACAAGAAGAAGAUAUCAAGAACACUUCUGAAAAUCACCAGAAAAUCUAGGCAUCACAGAAAAAUCUCAUUUUUGGUGAGCUGCUAGAUUUCUUUGCAAAGAACACAAUGCAAACAUAAUCAAUUCAUUUGGACUUAUGGUUGAAGAGUUAUGGCAGUUUGAAGCUUUCUGUAAAUUCAAAUGAAUUUGAACAAAAAUAAAACAAACUUGGGGGUGACAUCGAAGGCGUAAAGCCCAGGGGCGCCACCAGUCGUACUGCUUCGCACACGUAUAGAGUGGCUGACUAGCGGGCCCCGCUAGUCAGGUGAGGAGGAGGGGGAGAAGGAAACAGAGGGGGUCGCGGCUUCGCCGGAGCUCUCGCCGGCGACGAGGGCUCCUUGGCCAAAACGAGAGGGAGGGAUUGAGAGAGGGGACGGAGGCGCACCUACCCGUACCCGUAGCGUAGCUAGGGGUGGUCGGACGGCGUCAGAAUCGACCUCGCAAGUGGAGGAAGAACUCGGUGGUCGCCGGAGAUGAGGAAGACGGCGAGCAGAGGCAACUCCAGGGGCUCCAAGAGGUCGGAAUAGCUUCACGGACGAGAGGANNNNNNNNNNNNNNNNNNNNNNNNNNNNNNNNNNNNNNNNNNNNNNNNNNNNNNNNNNNNNNNNNNNNNNNNNNNNNNNNNNNNNNNNNNNNNNNNNNNNNNNNNNNNNNNNNNNNNNNNNNNNNNNNNNNNNNNNNNNNNNNNNNNNNNNNNNNNNNNNNNNNNNNNNNNNNNNNNNNNNNNNNNNNNNNNNNNNNNNNNNNNNNNNNNNNNNNNNNNNNNNNNNNNNNNNNNNNNNNNNNNNNNNNNNNNNNNNNNNNNNNNNNNNNNNNNNNNNNNNNNNNNNNNNNNNNNNNNNNNNNNNNNNNNNNNNNNNNNNNNNNNNNNNNNNNNNNNNNNNNNNAAGGCGACGCAGCUCACGCGGCGACUGUUGGCGAACGAGGACGAGCACAGGAGCGAGGAGAAGGCGACGAGCACAGUGUGCACCGCACUAUUGUGUUGGCCGGACCGUGCCCAUGCUCGCUGCGGCGAGCUCCGGCGUCGGCGAGCGCUAGGGGGGAGUUAAUGGCGUUGAGACAAGGAUGGUGGCGAAGUUUGGCAUGCUCGGGCAGACGGGGGAAGCGAGCACGCGCGAACAGAGCGCUCGGCGGCACUCAGAGCGCGUCGACACGUAGGCAUGGCAUGGUGGACACGCGUGGUCACCGCGCGAACUCUUCCCUCAGACCAGCCUACGUCCAAAAAUCAUGUCUGGCUUGUUGUUCGUGGUGGUUUUGAAGUUUACCACGCUUUGGUUUGGAUUCAGGUGCAGUAGAGGAGUUUUUACAAGCCAAGUAAGUUUCUGAUCAGUAACUUUGAGAGGUUACUAAGGUCAAAUGGCUGGGAGUUGGGGGCUGUGCUUUGGAUGUUAGCCACGAUCUACUAAGGUGAAGAUGCACAAGAAAGUCCAGGCACAAUGGAGCAAGUAAAAUGGUAGUUGCUGUAGAAACCACCAUUUCUGUCCAGAACAUAAAAUAUUUUCUGUAGCAAAAAUAUUCCAAAAAGUGAUGAAAUAUUUUUGCUCUCCAAGGGUUCAAACAAUAUUUGUGAAUUAUCUCAGAUUUUUCUGGGCCAUAAAAAUUGGGGUUGCUUUGGAGCAUAUUGAACUGGCUAGGGUUUUUGAGAGGAAAAAUGAAUAUUUUUCAUUUAAGAAAAAUAUUCCAAAGAUUAUUUUUGGGGUGGAUCAGAAGGGAAAUGAUGAUUAGGGAGGGAAAUGAAGCACUUGGGUGCAAGACAAGGAUACCCAAGUGUUUAAAUCCAUAUGAAAAGAUUCAAAUAUUCCAAAUUUCAGAAUAACUCCAAAUAAAAACCAGGCAAAUAAGAGGGGGCAAAAACCAGGCUGUCACACACCUCCCCCACUUAGAAUGAAUCUCGUCCUCGAGAUUCGGUUGCUUGGGAAAACCACUCUGGAUAAUGAGCCCUUAGGAAUUCUUCCCGCUCCCAACUUGAUUCUAAUUCUAUGUGAUGCUCCCACUGAACCUUGUAGAAUUUUCUUACUUUACUGAGAGUGACCCUUUCCAUCUGAUCCAAAAUUCUAAACGGUCUUUCUUCAUAGGUCAAAUCAUUUGCCAAUUCUACCUCAGCCAUAGCAGUCCUUUUCUCAGGCGGGGAUAUGCAACGUCUUAAUUGUGAAACAUGAAACACGUUAUGCACGUCUGCCAAUUCAGCGGGUAGUUCCAACUGAUAUGCAAUAGUACCCACUCGGGACAUAACCGGGAAUGGACCAAUAAAUCUGGGUGCCAAUUUUCCACGGGUCUGGAAUCUCUUGACGCCUUUCAUAGGAGUUACAUGGAGGUAUAGGUGUUCUCCGGGUUCAAAAUUGAUCUGUCGGUGCUUUGCAUCAUAAUAACUUUUCUGUCGAGAUUUGGCCAAUUGCACUCUGUCUCUGAUUUCCUUAACUUGUUUCUCAGUUUGAGACCAAUUUAAAGGAGUCCGGCACUUACGGCCAUACAGAGCUUCAUACGGUGACGUCUUUAGACUGGUCUGGAAGUUGUUGUUAUAAGAAAACUCGGCAUAUGGCAAGCAGUCUUCCUAUUUAGGUCCCUGGGCUAAAGCACAGGCUCGCAACAUAUCUCCGAGUAUUUGAUUUACCCGCUCUGUCUGUCCAUCUGUCUGAGGAUGAUAAGCAGUACUAUAUUUCAGCGCUGUCCCCAAGGCUUGAUGGAGACGUGACCAAAAAGCGGACGUAAAUAGGGAACCUCGGUCGGAAGUGAUGGUUCGGGGUACUCCAUGCAGACUGACUAUUCUGGAUACAUACAGCUGUUCAAGUUGAUCUGCUCGGUAUCUGGUGCUGAUCGGAAUGAAGUGAGCAACCUUGGUUAAGGUGUCCACUAUGACACAGAUUGCAUCCUUCCCUCGCUGAGUCUUAGGCAGUCCUAUAAUGAAAUCCAUGCAAACGUCAUCCCAUUUCCACUGCGAAACUGGCAGCGGUUGGAGAAGUCCAGCUGGCUUAUGAUGUUCUGCCUUCACCUUGUUGCAUAUGUCGCAACAGGCCACAAAAUAGGCAAUGUCUUUCUUCAUUCCAUCCCACCAGAAUAUUUGUCUAAGGUCUUCAUACAUUUCCGUACCUCCCGGGUGAACGGAAUAUGAGGAUUCGUUUGCUUCCGACAAGAUUUUCUGCUUUAAGUUAGGCUGAUUGGGUACACAAAUCCUUCUACGGAAUCGGAGGGUACCGAAUUUGUCCUUGGAGAAAUCUGGGGUCUGCUCAGCCAUCGGGCUCUUGGCACGUUUUUGCAGCUUGAUGUCAGCUGGCUGGGCCCUGCGGAUCUCUUCCUCAAGUGUGGGGGUAACUUCCAAAAUAUUAGCGAGGCCAGCAUCCACUAUGACUAGGUUGAGCUGAGCGAUCUCCUCUUGGAGUUCGGGAGGCAAGGAUUUCAAUAUGACAUUUAAGCUGACAGGCUUUUGACUGAGUGCAUCGGCAACCACGUUGACCUUACCCGGGUGGUAAUUUAUUCCAAGAUCAUAAUCCUUGACCAAGUCUAGCCAUCUUCAUUGACGGAGAUUUAAAUCUGGCUGAGUAAAUAUGUAUUUAAGAUUUUUGUGAUCGAUAAAACUUUGGCACCUUUUUCCAAUCAGGUAGUGUCUCCAAAUUUUUAGCGGAUGAACCACCGCAGCCAAUUCCAAAUCACGAGUAGGAUAAUUUCCCUCGUGGGGUCGUAGCUGUCGUGAUGCAUAUGCUACUACCUUGCUGUCUUGCAUAAGUACGCAACCAAGGCCUUGCCUGGAGGCGUCACAAUACACAUCAAAACUGCGAUAAAUGUCUGGAAGAGUCAAUACAUGUGCGGUUGUCAGCCGUAUCUUUGGCUCAUUGAAACUUUUCUCACAGUCCUCCGUCCAUUCAAACUUCUUAUCCUUUUUGAGCAGCUCCGUCAUGGGUUUAGCAAUCUUGGAAAACCCUUGAAUGAAACGACGGUAAUAUACAGCUAAUCCGAGAAAACUCUGGAUCUGCGUCACGGUCGUGGGCGGCAACCAAUCGAGCACAUCCUUUACUUUGCUCGGGUCCACGGCUAUACCUUCGGCGGAUAGUACAUGUCCGAGAAACCCAACUUGCUUGAGCCGAAAUUCGCAUUUACUGAAUUUGGCGUAUAGUUGAUGGUCGCGGAGUCGUUGUAGCACUGCUCGGAGGUGAUCCUUGUGCUCUUCUUCACCCUUGGAGUAAAUGAGGAUGUCAUCGAUGAAGACUACCACGAAUUUGUCGAGGAAGUCCAUGAAUACUUUGUUCAUCAUACGCAUGAAGAAAGCAGGGGCAUUGGUGAGACCAAAGGACAUCACUGUAUAUUCAUAAAGACCGUACCGAGUAGUGAAUGCGGUCCUUUUCUAUGAUCUGCCAGAGUGUGUUGUGCUCGCCACUGCUAUUGUCGCAUGCCGAAUUGAUUGGAUUGCAGCAUAUUGCACCUCAAUUAUAUCAUCAUAUUGCAUUUGAUACAUAAAUGCUGGUUUGAACCACAUUACAAUGAUGUUAGAUUAAUGAAAAGUAGUAGUUAUAAAGCAAAUAUAACAAGUGCAUUACAAUAAUUAAUAAGCAUAUAUAUGCCGUCGCUCAUCACAUAAUUAAUGCUUUGACGAGUUGUUCUGGAUUGAAAUGAGUGUCAGCCAAUGUUCAACGCAUAGACUGUUAGUAGAAGCCGCACAUACUACAUGAAUUAUUACUUGAUGGAACGAAUGGGGACCAACGGGCCGCUUGCUCUAGAAUUGGAGAUUUGGCCUCUCAAAGAGCCCACAACAACCUCAGCGGUUAUGGGUAUGGUGGUUGGACUCAUACCCGGCCAGAUCCUUAGCCUCUCAUCCAGGGUUGCCUCCAUAAGGAUAUGCACGCCGUGAGGUCACUAAACGGCCUCUCUGCAAUCUUCUCAAUCGCUGGGAGAGAACACCUGGCCAUUGGAAUACUUCUAACCCAACUAACAUCGCCUCCCUGAGGUGCUCUGCCCGAUACUUUUCCCACGUUCAUAGAUAGUGCUUCUCCAUGUCCGCCGCAGAGACCCCCUCCCACAAAUCUUCUGGCGGUCCCAUCUGUUAUUUUUAGCAGACAAUAAAAUUCAAAAUAUAUACAUAUGGAAAAGAUCACAAGGUUAAUAUAUAAACAUAUGACAUGCGUACAUAUAAACUAGAGAUCACAAGGUAACAAGCAUUGUGUCAUGACAUAGUUUAAUGGUUUUUGACGGUUUGCUAGACUAGAAAGGAGCAUAUAUAUGGCCAUGUCAAUGUUUCAUUCUCAUCUCUUGUUCUUCUUGACUCUCUGCCCCGCAGCAGAAUAUCUCCUCUCAUCCCCUACUACAUGGCGAUUGAUGAUGUUCAUGAGCACCCUCUGAAAGCGCUCGUGCUCUGUCCAAAAGUGAGCUAGCUUAAGUUCCUUCUCAUUCUCUUUGGACCAUUUCUACAACAUUGAAUCACUCCUCAACAGUGGUCCUGCACGCACAUAGUCAUCCAUCAAGACCAUGGCAUAGUAGCCAGCCAUGUGCAUGGUUUCGCCUUUCGGUUGUUGCCGGCAAUAGAAGCUAGUGUUAAAUUUGUACUGUGAAUGUGGCAUGUUCUUACGGUCGGACUUAUGACACAUCAAAAGAGCAGCAUUGAUAAGUUUCUUCAGAUCGGUCCAUGGCUUCUUAGGGUCUCUCCUGGAAUCGAAGAAAUAAGCUCGGCCGUCUCGGGGAACAAUUGAACAAUGUAAAUUAAUAAGGUUGAAAUCAAAGUACUCAGGUGUAUAUGUGCAAGCAUAAAGAAAUGAACUUACGUUUCAAAGUAAGGCCAAUAGAAAUGGAUCGACAUUUCGCCAAAACAUAGGCACUCAUGUUAAUACCUGCAAAUAUAAGCCAACGAUACUACAAUGGAUCCUAGUUAAAAAAGAAAGAAAAAUUCGACAUGACCUAUGCUAAAAAGAGGACAUAACGAGUCCAGGAACUCGGCAAAACGGAAAUGAAUCGACGUUUUGCCAAAACAUUUUCGCCGAGGGGCCGCCGCAAUGACCCUAAACACAACUUUGACCAUACCAGAGAGGUGGCUCGCUUGGCGUCCGAAGGAGGCGCGAGGUAUCCGAUGUUGGCGGAGGAGGGCACAAUGGUCGGAGUUGUAGCCAUCGCGGAGGAGCUUCGCGGUGGCGGUGGCAGCGAGAUGCCUCCAGUGUUGGAGAAGGAGUCCAUGCCCGUGGCGGCGAGGAAGGCCGCGACGCAGCAUCGACGAAGGGGCUGACAACAACGAGGGGUGUGGCGGUGCCGGUGAGGAGGAGAGGCGGCAACGAGGGGAGCAGCAGCAGCGAGGAUGAGAGGCGGCAACGAGGGGCGCGACGCUGAGUCGGGCANNNNNNNNNNNNNNNNNNNNNNNNNNNNNNNNNNNNNNNNNNNNNNNNNNNNNNNNNNNNNNNNNNNNNNNNNNNNNNNNNNNNNNNNNNNNNNNNNNNNNNNNNNNNNNNNNNNNNNNNNNNNNNNNNNNNNNNNNNNNNNNNNNNNNNNNNNNNNNNNNNNNNNNNNNNNNNNNNNNNNNNNNNNNNNNNNNNNNNNNNNNNNNNNNNNNNNNNNNNNNNNNNNNNNNNNNNNNNNNNNNNNNNNNNNNNNNNNNNNNNNNNNNNNNNNNNNNNNNNNNNNNNNNNNNNNNNNNNNGGGCACGGCAGGGCGCCUGCUACACGUAAGUGGACAACACUGGCGGGCGGCCGACUGGACCGGCCACUACUACAAGUGUAUAAUAUGUACUUCCUUCGUGCCUGGUAAGAGUGCUUACCAUAAUUUAGCUGUGGCAAGCAACAGUCACACUCGCCACUGAUGUACAGAUAAGCAAUGGCGGGACUUUGUUACUGCUCAUCACAAUUAGGUCGCAUUACGCAUCCAGCUCUGAAACGGUCUACCAGUGGCGGGCACGUAUUCCUGCCUGCCACUGCUCUGUUACUAGCAGUGGCGGGUAAGCUUUGGUACCCGUCACUGCUAUAUUUCCAAAUUAGCUGUGGCAGGUGACACGUCUCGCCCGUCACAAAUUUGUGUUCACCUAUAAGCCAUUUUCUAUAGUGUAUGAUUUUCUUAGGUGACGGUCGAUGACAAGAUGACCAAGCAAUAAGAUGCAACCGGGUAAUGGGCAUGUUUAGGAUCUUGCCUCGGCAACUAUUUUUCUUGUGUUCUAGAAUGUCUGUAUGAUUGCUAUGGCGGGUUUACCUAGAUUUUCGUAGGUGUAGGAUCUCUAGAUUAAUAUUCGGGUUUAAAUACUGAAUCAGGUGCCAAGCUUGAUACUUAUAAAAACUAGAUCUCCAAAUUUAUAAAUAUCAUUUUAACCAUGUUUGGAAUUUAAACGUCAUUAUUCAAAUUAUAUGUUGAUCAAAACAUGAUAUUUAAAUUCUCCUGGUCUUUUGGGCCAGGGCCUCGACAAAGGCAUCAGAUUAGCCUAAUUCUUGGCAAGCUUUUUAAUCUAAAAAACAAAGCAAUUUUGGAUGACAUGUGUGAAAAUUCUUUAAAAAAAUUACUACCUUUCAAUGACUUCUAACAUAAUUUAAAUUUAUUUUCAAGUUUGUUUGAAUCUGGCUCAAAAUUCCGGGGUUACAAGUAUUUCAGACCAAACGAAUAUAGCAUCGACUCAGACUUAGCAAAACUGAUUCGGGAUAGCAUGUGGUGCCGGUAUAAAUAUACGGAUCAUGAUAUUUCCAUAUCUUCAACCUACCAGUAGGUGGUGGCAUUCAUUUGUUGCACGUAUCCUUUGUUGAUUAGAACUUGGCACCGCAGUUUGCUCCGUGAUGGCUAGUUAGUAAGUUAGUGAGCAGAUUGUUGUCUAGAGAAAAUUAGUGAAUUCAUCUAAUGAUGUGCUUCCGUCUGGCUGUCCGUCCGCCUCCAUUAUACGUACGGAGACCGCCGAAGAGCGCAAACAAGGAACAACUCAUUAAACCAUGGGAAUUUUACCUGCUGCUCUGGAGGACAGCCCACCACAUGCAGGCGUGGGGACACUCCGGCGCUAUAUAUUUCCCCGGCGCCAGUCCAUCAGCAGCAGCAGCAGCUCAAGCUUCCCCUGAUCAACUAGCCACCUAGCCAUCGUCGUUUCUUGCAUAGCCAAGCAAGAAACAACCUUCUUGGCCGAGAAUAUGGCGUCUAGGGCUGCGACGAUGGUGGCGCUGCUGCUCGCGGCGGUGGCGGCGACGUGCGCGCGGGCGCAGCUGCACGACAAGUCCUACAGCGAGUCGUGCCCCAGCGUGGAGGACGUCGUGAGGAAGGAGAUGGUGAGGGCGCUGUCACUGGCGCCCAGCCUCGCCGGGCCGCUCCUCCGGAUGCACUUCCACGACUGCUUCGUCAGGGUAAGCUGCAUUUGCAUGCAUCAGUAUCUGCCCGUACCCCGAUGUGUGCUGUGGCCUGACCAGUGACAUCCUCGCCCUCAUUGCCCGGGACGCAGUAUGGCUGGUGAGUAGAGUACUAGGCCGUUCUCUUUUGCAAAUGACACGGUAUAUACGUGUGGAAGCCAAAUUCUAAUGCUGCUCGAUCAUGGUUUCUCCAGAGCAAGGGUCCAUUCUGGACAGUUCCUCUCGGCCGGCGAGACGGCAGCGUGUCCAUUUCCAACGAGACCGACGCUCUGCCACCCCCGACCUCCAACUUCACCGUACUCACCCAGCUCUUCGCCGCCGUGAACCUCGACGCAAAGGACCUUGUCGUCUUGUCCGCCGGGCACACCAUCGGGACGUCGCACUGCUUCUCCUUCUCCGACCGGCUCUACAACUUCACCGGCAUGGAGAACCCCAGCGACAUCGACCCCACACUGGAGCCGCAGUACAUGAUGCGGCUAAAGAGCAAGUGUGCCAGCCUCAACGACAACACCACCCUCUUGGAGAUGGACCCCGGUAGCUUCAAGACCUUCGACACCGACUACUUCAAGCUGGUGAGCAAGCGGCGGGGCCUCUUCCACUCCGACGGCGCCCUCC